AACGAACGCUGGCGGCAUGCCUAACACAUGCAAGUCGAACGAGACCUUCGGGUCUAGUGGCGCACGGGUGCGUCACGCGUGGGAACCUGCCCUUAGGUUCGGAAUAACUCCCCGAAAGGGGUGCUAAUACCGGAUAAUGUCUUCGGACCAAAGAUUUAUCGCCUUUGGAUGGGCCCGCGUUGGAUUAGCUAGUUGGUAGGGUAAAAGCCUACCAAGGCGACGAUCCAUAGCUGGUCUGAGAGGAUGAUCAGCCACACUGGGACUGAGACACGGCCCAGACUCCUACGGGAGGCAGCAGUGGGGAAUAGUGGACAAUGGGCGAAAGCCUGAUCCAGCAAUGCCGCGUGAGUGAUGAAGGCAUUAGGGUUGUAAAGCUCUUUUACCCGGGAUGAUAAUGACAGUACCGGGAGAAUAAGCCCCGGCUAACUCCGUG
RNAcentral lists this ribosomal RNA (433 nucleotides) under uncultured bacterium. RNAcentral describes it as "partial 16S ribosomal RNA". It matches the Rfam family "Bacterial small subunit ribosomal RNA", at positions 29 to 507 of the family's 1533-position model. The record is from RNAcentral.